RNA transcript from Serinus canaria (Common canary), 2080 nucleotides. It is a transcript of the gene named mitochondrial ribosomal protein L30, with no coding region annotated. The transcript is spliced from 7 exons. The record is from RefSeq and is a predicted model, not a curated record. Lineage: Eukaryota; Metazoa; Chordata; Aves; Passeriformes; Fringillidae.
GGGGGAACGGAGGGGAGGUGUCACAUCGUUGUCCUUCCGCCCUCUCGGAACUGAAGUGCCGCGGCACCGGUGUCUGGCGGGGACAAAGGGUGCACACGAAGAUGGCGGCCGCGGCCGGCCGAGCGGGUCUGGGGCUUGCGGGCCCCGGGAAGGUGCUGGGAAAGAGGAUGGAGGCGAUGGCGUCCCCGGUGUGGGUUCGUUGUCUCUUUACCCGGUCGAAUAUUCCAGACUCGGUAUUUCAGCCACGGCCUGGAGAUCAUGAAAAGUAUGGAGGUGAUCCUGAGGAGCCCCACAAAAUCCAUGUUAUUACAAGAAUAAAAAGUGUCAUUGGUCGCCCAUAUUGGGAAAAGAAGAUAAUACGUGAUCUGGGACUGGAGAAAGCACAUCAGCCAAGAUUGCACAAAAAUAUCCCUUCUGUGAAUUCCAGACUGAAAGUUGUUAAACAUCUGAUAAGAAUACAGCCACUGAAGCUACCCCACGGGCUGCCAACAGAGGAGGAAGUGUCCAGCACCUUUUUGACACCCAGGGGAGAGCUUAUCAUUAAAAAGCGCCUGAAACCUGUGGAGCAGAAAGAAAUUAAGUCCUAAGGCACAGAUGAAAACUCUGAAUAUUCUCAUGAUGUAAGAUAAAAAUUAGAGGCAGAAGGCCAUGGGUCAAAGGUUACUGCUCUGUCUACAUCAGGCAGAAAAGGAACUUCCAGUAACAUGGACAGAGGUGACCAGAAAAAGAUCAGAAAGCAACAACAAUUGUUAUUUGUCAGGAAACCUUUUGCUCAAAUCUUAAGGCAGCAUGCUACUGUUAAACUUUCCUUGUUUAUUUGCUCCUUACUACCAAUUUAUCAAGCUUCAACUAAUUUUCUGCAGAGAUUUUCUGUAUUUGCUGCAAAGUGCUGAUACCCUAAAACAAAACUUGGAACAAAAUAUGGAAUUUCAAUAACUUGGAAUUUUAAAUGGACUAUAAAUUAUAAAUAAUCCUUUGUGGUGAUGCUGCACAACUCAGCAGGCAGGUUAGCAGGCCCUUGGGUAUUGCUACCACAACAUGGAGCAGCAGCUUCAUAGCUUCAAAUUGGACUCCUGAGGAGCUCAGACAUCUGCAGGGCUGGCAGCACCAAUAGUGGAUGGCAUGAAGGCAACCAAAAAGAGAGCUCCACUCUUGUUCACCCUUGGAACUCAAGCCCCAGCUUUGUACACAUAGGCAGCAAUGAGAUUCCCUGCCCCAUGUGACAUUUAUACUGAUUUAACAAAAAUUCAUUAAUAGGCUUUACUUAAGAGGUUUAUGUAACAUGGGUUUACAUAAUAUAAUGCACCAAAGGCUUCAUCCUAUGAAUCUUACAUAAGUAAUGUUAAGUAGACAACCAUGUGAUACAUUUCAAAGUAUUACAAAGUAAUUAUUUUAGUAAAUUAUAUUAAUAUAGUGUAGAAUUCAUUAAAGACUAAUAUCAAUAUCUGUGAUUGCUCAACGCUGAACUGUUUAUGGUAGUCUUAAAAAAAAAAAAAAAAUCAGUGACAUUUGAGACAACAUAGGGUUCCCUUUGGUCUCCAGAGGUGAUAAAAUUAGUUUGCUUGUAAGGUAUGUUAAUCAUGCAGAGUCCUUGCCGUGAUGGUAAGCAGAUGAAUGACUGACAAGACAAGGGGCACAGUGUUAAAAGUGCUCUGCUGGCAAAAGCUGUCUCCAGCCCAGCUCUCAUGCUACCUCUGUUGACCCUGCCUGGCAGCCCAGGCAUGGGCACAGCACUGCCCCUUGCUGCCAGGCAAGGACUGUCAGCAUCACUUCUGCAUCAGCUAUGGCAGCAGCUGGAAGAAAAGUACUCUGACACCUUCCAAAUGGUUAUUUGAAAGGCUAAAUGUGAACAUUCUUAUUAUCAGGUUCACAAGUUGGGGUCAGCAGCCAGGGUCAGGCCCAGCUCCUCUGACCUAUCCAGUCUGCAGCACCAUUAUCCUCUCUCUGUUCUCAAACUGAGUUUUAGACCCAUUCCAAGAGUACUGAAUAGAGUUAUUUACUCAAACUAUAGAUUGCUACCCACUGAGCCCCAUGAAACUGAAAAAAAAAAAAAAACAUUGGUAUUUAACAUUUAUCUUUA